UAGAGUUUGAUCCUGGCUCAGGACGAACGCUGGCGGCGUGCUUAACACAUGCAAGUCGAACGGUGAACCUUGGAGCUUGCUUUAAGGGGAUCAGUGGCGAACGGGUGAGUAACACGUGAGUAACCUGCCCCGGACUCUGGAAUAAGCGCUGGAAACGGCGUCUAAUACCGGAUACGAGACGCAACCGCAUGGUUAGUGUCUGGAAAGUUUUUCGGUCUGGGAUGGACUCGCGGCCUAUCAGCUUGUUGGUGAGGUAAUGGCUCACCAAGGCGACGACGGGUAGCCGGCCUGAGAGGGCGACCGGCCACACUGGGACUGAGACACGGCCCAGACUCCUACGGGAGGCAGCAGUGGGGAAUAUUGCACAAUGGGCGAAAGCCUGAUGCAGCGACGCCGCGUGAGGGAUGACGGCCUUCGGGUUGUAAACCUCUUUCAGCAGGGAAGAAGCGAAAGUGACGGUACCUGCAGAAGAAGCACCGGCUAACUACGUGCCAGCAGCCGCGGUAAUACGUAGGGUGCGAGCGUUGUCCGGAAUUAUUGGGCGUAAAGAGCUUGUAGGCGGUUUGUCGCGUCUGCUGUGAAAAUCCGGGGCUCAACCCCGGACUUGCAGUGGGUACGGGCAGACUAGAGUGUGGUAGGGGAGACUGGAAUUCCUGGUGUAGCGGUGAAAUGCGCAGAUAUCAGGAGGAACCCCGAUGGCGAAGGCAGGUCUCUGGGCCACUACUGACGCUGAGAAGCGAAAGCAUGGGGAGCGAACAGGAUUAGAUACCCUGGUAGUCCAUGCCGUAAACGUUGGGCGCUAGGUGUGGGACUCAUUCCACGAGUUCCGUGCCGCAGCUAACGCAUAAAGCGCCGCCGGCCUGGGGU
Molecule: ribosomal RNA, 867 nt
Filed under: Janibacter melonis
Lineage: Bacteria; Bacillati; Actinomycetota; Actinomycetes; Micrococcales; Intrasporangiaceae
Description: bacterial SSU rRNA
Rfam family: Bacterial small subunit ribosomal RNA
Source: RNAcentral